Culex quinquefasciatus (southern house mosquito) is the source of this 307-nucleotide long non-coding RNA. RefSeq lists it as uncharacterized. The transcript is spliced from 2 exons. The record is from RefSeq and is a predicted model, not a curated record. NCBI's taxonomy places the organism in Eukaryota, Metazoa, Arthropoda, Insecta, Diptera, Culicidae.
UUUGGUAAUUUUGCUGCUCUUCCCGCUGGCCCUGCGGAAGGCUAAUUUGGCUGAGAUUUUACAAGUUAGCCAUUUCCUAGUGGACUGAAUCAACUGGAACCGGCCCUCAAUGUUCUCCGCCGUGAAAUCAUUUUGUUUCUUCGAAACAGGUUCAUCAAUCAACUCGGGAGUGCGAGAGCUCGAGCCUCGUUGCCGAGCCAUGGAUGGCGCCGCAAAAGUUCUCAAUUCUUGAAUGUUCUGCCCUGAAGGAUGCCCAACACAGGAAAAGAAAAUAAUUUGGAAAUAAAUAAUGCUGUGUGGAAACGCG